Molecule: ribosomal RNA, 1609 nt
Filed under: Batrachomoeus trispinosus (three-spined frogfish)
Lineage: Eukaryota; Metazoa; Chordata; Actinopteri; Batrachoidiformes; Batrachoididae
Description: 16S ribosomal RNA
Rfam family: Bacterial large subunit ribosomal RNA
Source: RNAcentral
AACACUGAGCUGUCUUACGCCUACAGCUAGUCAUAUUUCCCCUUCCCCAUCUUUAUCAUAAAAACAUAAACUCACACUCAAAGUAUUCCUCAGCAUAGUAUGGCCGAUAGAAAAGCUUAAAUGAACUAUACAACAAGUACCGCAAGGAAAAGCUGAAAGACCCUCAAUGAAACAAGUAAUUAGCACUAAAAAGCAAAGUUAAGACCUUGUACCAAAAGCAUAAUGGAUUAGCUUGCCACAAUAAGCAAAAAAAACUUUAGUUUAUAUCCCCGAAACUAGUUGAGCUACUUCGUGCCAGUCACUGACGAACACACCCAUCUCUGUGGCAAAAGAGUGGGAAGAGCACCAAGUAGAGACAAAACAUCUAACAAAAUUAGUUAUAGCUGGUUCCUCAAGAAUAAAGUAUAAGCUUGGCCCUUUGUAACAAGAAAACCCCAAAAUAGGCCCCCCUGUAACAAAAAGGUCGUCAAAGGGGGUACAGCCCAUUUGACAUAAGAAACAACUUCUCAUAAAGGUUAUGGUUCACACUAAACAAAACAUUUUAUACGUAGGCCUAAAACCAGCCACCAACCAUGAAAACGUCAUAGUUCUAAAAAUCCUGCUACCAAUCUCGAUAUCACACACCAAAACCUAAACCCCCAUUGAGGCCCAUCACACUCUGAUGUAGAUAAUGCUAAUAUGAGUAAUAUGGAACCACCUCCUAGCACAACUAUAAGUCCUAAUAUUGAUCUUUAUUCGAUCCUAUAAUAGAAGGCACCAGCCUAAAAAUAAACUACAAGCUCCCCCCCCAACACAAACCGUUAACCCGACACAGGUGUGCUGCAAAGGAAAGACAAAAAGAAGAGGAAGGAACUCGGCAAACCAUAGCCUCGCCUGUUUACCAAAAACAUCGCUUCUUGCACAUAUAAGAAGUCCUGCCUGCCCAGUGAGCCAGUUCAACGGCUGCAGUAUCAUGACUGUACUAAGGUAGCAUAAUCAAAUGUCUUUUAAUUGAAGACCGGUAUCAAAGGCUUCACGAAGGCUCAACUGUCUCCCCCCUCCAGUCAAUGAAAUUGUCCUCUUCGUGAAAAGACGAAGAUUAAAAUAUAAGACGAAAAGACCCCGUGGAGCUUUAGGACGCCUCAGAAACUAAAACAAACCACCUGAGCUUCUUCCUUUGGUUGGGGCGACCAUGAGAAAUAAAACAACUCUCAUAAGGCAUGGUACACACACCUAAAUCAAGAGCCACACCUCUCGUUAAUACAAAAUGUAACCUCAAGACCCAAUAACAAUUGAUCAUUGAAUUAAGUUACCCCGGGGAUAACAGCGCAAUUUUCUUUAAAAGACCAUAUUGACAAGAAAGUUUACGACCUCGAUGUUGGAUCAAGACACCCCAGUGGUGCAGCAGCUACUAAUGGUUCGUUUGUUCAACGAUUAAUAGUCUUACGUGAUCUGAGUUCAGACCGGAGCAAUCCAGGUCAGUCUCUAUCUAUAACAUUGCUUUUUUCCAGUACGAAAGGACCAAAAAAAGAAGGCCCAUAAGAUCCUCACGCCUUACAAUUAGUGUUAGCUUCAAACUGCACACAACAAUAAAACUAAUAGUAAACCACUCGUUCAGACAACUUCUCCC